AAAAUAGUCCGCGCUCGCAGAGACACGACGAUCACUUCGGGAAACGUGACACUCGUGACAGUAGUUUUACAACAUUUGUGAAAUUCACGGCGGGGUCUAAAGGAAGUAACCGAUCGGUACAAAUCGUACGUCGAGCAUAUUAAUGGUCAAGAAAUACGUGUAUACGUAGGCGCGAGAAUAUCAAAAGGAGUUGAUAUUACUACGCCGCACGUUGUGGAAGGAAGCAGAAAUCGAGUACUAGCAGGAAGUGGGUAGAAGGGGGUACGUCGUUGAGCUAGUUGAUUCGGUGGUGGCUACAUGUGGCUGUCCGCCGGUCGCGACUACGAGACAUUUCCUAUUGAGGCAUAAAAAGUUACAUUUUCCAACGGAAAUCGAUAGUUGAAAGAAGCCGUAAUCAUGCAAAUGGAUCCAACGACGGUGCAACUUAUCCAGGUUCUAGAGAGAACAGUCUCAUCAGACAAAAAUGAAUUGGAGGCAGCUCAGAAUUUUCUAGAGCAAGCAGCAAGGGCUAAUCUUCAUGAAUUUUUGCAAAGACUUAGCAGCGUGCUUGUUACUGCUGCUGCAAGCCCUGUUGCUCGUAUGGCAGCAGGUCUUCAGCUUAAAAAUCAACUUACAUCCAAAGAUCCAGACCUAAAAUAUCAAUAUCAACAACGUUGGCUUGCGAUUCCUGUAGAAACAAGAGAAUAUAUUAAGAAAAAUAUUUUUGGGGCACUUGGAACAGAGAACAAUAGGCCAGGUUCUGCACCACAGUGUGUUGCAUAUGUAGCAGUUGCUGAAUUACCUGUUCGUGAAUGGACCAAUGUUAUUCAGCUGUUAGUUAAUAAUGUUGUAAAUCCAAACAGUACAGAAAUGUUAAAAGAAGCAACACUAGAAGCCAUUGGUUAUAUUUGUCAAGAUAUAGAAAGCGAUGUUUUGGUACCUCAGUCUAAUGAAAUUCUCACAGCUAUUAUUCAUGGUAUGAAAGGAUCUAGUACUUCGCAUUAUGUUCGUCUUGCAGCUACAAGUGCACUCUACAAUUCAUUAGAAUUUACCAAAGGAAAUUUUGAGAUAGAGACAGAACGAAACUUCAUUAUGGAAGUGGUAUGCGAGGCGACGCAAUCUUUAAACACACAAGUUAAAGUAGCAGCAUUACAGUGUCUUGUGAAGAUUAUGUCGUUAUAUUAUCAAUAUAUGGAACCUUACAUGGCUCCAGCACUUUUUCCGAUUACUUUAGAAGCUAUGAAAUCAGAUAUUGAUGAAGUUGCACUGCAAGGAAUUGAGUUUUGGUCAAAUGUAUCUGAUGAGGAAGUAGAUUUAGCCAUGGAAGAAGGUGAAGCCUCCGAUGGUGGUCGACCGCCGGUCAAAGUAUCGAGGCAUUAUGCAAAGGGUGCUUUGCAAUACUUGGUACCUGUUUUGAUGAAGAAACUCACUAAACAAGAAGAAUUCGAUGAUGAAGACGAUUGGAAUCCUUCAAAAGCAGCCGGAGUAUGUUUAAUGUUACUAUCAUCUUGUUGCGAAGAUGCUAUUGUUCCAUUCGUUUUGCCAUUCAUCAAAGAUAGUAUCAAAAGUCCAGAUUGGAGGUAUAGAGAUGCUGCUUUGAUGGCUUUUGGUUCGAUUCUCGGAGGCGUCGAUCAUGCCACUUUGAAACCUUUGGUAGAGCAAGCAAUGCCAACACUUAUCGAACUAAUGUAUGAUAGCAGUGUCGCGGUAAGGGAUACAGCUGCAUGGACGUUUGGUCGAAUUUGUGAGAUCAUACCAGAAGCGGCGAUUAGUGAGACAUACCUGAAACCAUUGUUAGAAGCUUUGAUAAAUGGUUUGAAGGCGGAACCUCGUGUUGCAGCAAACGUUUGUUGGGCAUUUACGGGUCUUGCAGAGGCUAGUUACGAGGCUGCUGAAAGUUUAGAAGGGCAAAAUCCAGAAACUUAUUGCAUGUCUCAAUACUUUGAUUUUAUUAUUCAGAGAUUAUUGGAAACAACAGAUCGUCCGGAUGGAGCUCAAGCUAACUUAAGGUCAGCUGCAUACGAAGCGCUAAUGGAUAUGGUGAAAAACUCUCCGCGCGAUUGUUAUAUAACCGUGCAGAAGACGACGAUGGUAAUUCUGGAAAGAUUGCAGCAGGUACUGCAAAUGGAGACACAUAUCCAGAGCCAUUCGGAUCGUGCUCAGUACAACGAUUUGCAAUCGUUGUUAUGUGCAACUUUACAAUCCGUACUCCGUAAAGUUACACCAGAAGAUGCUCCUCAUAUCUCUGAUGUAAUAAUGACAGCGUUAUUGUCCAUGUUCAAUUCGAAUUCUUGCAAAGCCGAGGGUGUACAGGAAGAUGCUCUCAUGGCUGUAUCGACUCUGGUCGAAGUGUUGGGAGAGCGUUUCUUGAAGUACAUGGAUGCGUUCAAACCCUAUCUUUGUCUUGGUUUAAAAAAUUAUGCAGAGUAUCAAGUUUGUUGCGCUGCGGUAGGUUUGACUGGUGAUAUCUGCCGCGCCUUGAAGAGCAAGAUGUUACCUUACUGCGACGAGAUUAUGACCCUGUUGCUAGAAAAUCUUAGCAACGAUUCGGUUAAUCGUUCUGUGAAACCUCAAAUCUUUUCUGUUUUCGGUGAUGUUGCUCUUAGUAUUGGUCCAGAAUUCAAGAAAUACUUGGAUGUGGUACUUCAAACGCUGGCUCAGGCUUCCCAAGCGAACGUGGAUAGAAGCGACUAUGAUAUGAUCGAUUAUUUAAAUGAAUUACGCGAAGGUGUUCUUGAGGCUUACACUGGUAUAGUGCAAGGACUACGUGGUGACGAAACAAAUCCUUGUUCAGACGCUGCGAUUGCUUUGGUGGAGCCACACGUACCCUUUAUCAUUCAGUUUAUUACAUCAAUAGCUCAAGACCGUGAACAUUCCGAAGGCAACAUUUCAGCCUCGGUGGGAUUGCUUGGUGAUUUGGUCACUGUUUUCGGAGUAAAACUUUUGCCAAUGGUUGAGACUGAACCGCUUACAGAGCUCUUAACUAAAGCUAGACGAUCACGCAUUGAUAAGACCAAAACUCUGGCCAACUGGGCAACUAAAGAGAUUCGAAAGCUCAAGAAUGUUGCUAAUUCCACAUCUAGUUGAUCACCCCACGGUUGUACUGUCGUGCAAUUUGAUUUGACUAGAGAGCUAUCGAACACAAUACAAAGACAACAAGAUUGGAUGGUGCGGAUGCGAGUUGAUGGAUGUGCGUGAGUUUCGAAGCGAUGACGAUGAUGGGGUGAUGAAUCUGCACGUGUCCCUGCUCUGGCGACGGUAUUCGAGUACCGACACGUUGAGCACAACCCCAAAUGAUCGAGAAAAUAAAUACCUGUCUGCCGGAUGUCUGCCGACAACGGAUGAUGAGGAGUGCAAGUGGAUGUUGCCGAUGAAUGAGCCAAGGCCGAAGUCUGCCGAAAUGUUCCGGUGAUGCAAGUAUGCCUGAUAACGAGCCUGGGGCUUCUACCCGCGUGAUUGAGAAGUUGAACCUGAGGAAAGGACGACUUCGAUGGACGAUGUUCGUGGCCAGUGAGAGAGAGAGAGAGAGAGAGAGAGAGAGAGAGAGAGAGAGAGAAAACACAAAAACACAAUUGCGUUCUGUAUGUCUCCUAUAC
RNAcentral lists this unclassified non-coding RNA (3575 nucleotides) under Apis florea (little honeybee). RNAcentral describes it as "importin subunit beta-1, transcript variant X1". Lineage: Eukaryota; Metazoa; Arthropoda; Insecta; Hymenoptera; Apidae. The record is from RNAcentral.